Molecule: ribosomal RNA, 509 nt
Filed under: uncultured bacterium
Lineage: Bacteria
Description: partial 16S ribosomal RNA
Rfam family: Bacterial small subunit ribosomal RNA
Source: RNAcentral
ACUCAAAUGAAUAGACGGGGGCCCGCACAAGCGGCGGAGCAUGUGGAUUAAUUCGAUGCAACGCGAAGAACCUUACCUGGGUUUGACAUGCACCAGACGCCGGUAGAGAUAUCGGUUCCCUUGUGGUUGGUGUGCAGGUGGUGCAUGGCUGUCGUCAGCUCGUGUCGUGAGAUGUUGGGUUAAGUCCCGCAACGAGCGCAACCCUCGUUCCAUGUUGCCAGCACGCGGUAGUGAUACUGUGGUGGGGACUCAUGGGAGACUGCCGGGGUCAACUCGGAGGAAGGUGGGGAUGACGUCAAGUCAUCAUGCCCCUUAUGUCCAGGGCUUCACACAUGCUACAAUGGCUCAUACAGAGGGCUGCGAGACCGUGAGGUGGAGCGAAUCCCUUAAAGUGGGUCUCAGUUCGGAUCGGGGUCUGCAACUCGACCCCGUGAAGUUGGAGUCGCUAGUAAUCGCAGAUCAGCAAUGCUGCGGUGAAUACGUUCCCGGGCCUUGUACACACCGCCCGU